GUGCACCAGGCGCGAAUCUUCGGCAAUGGGCGAAAGCCUGACCGAGCGACGCCGCGUGCCCCGAAGAAGCCUUUUCGGGGUGUAAAGGGCUUUUUCUUGGGGAUAAAUUCGCUCCUCACUUUCGUUCGGAAUUAUAUUGAGAAACGAGCGGAAGUGAGGAGCGAAUGAUAGUACCCAAGGAAUAAGGGACCUCUAAUCAACGUGCCAGCAGAGGCGGUAAUACGUGAGUCCCAAGCGUUAUCCGGAAUUACUGGGCGUAAAGCGUGCGUAGGCGGUCCAAAUAGUCAUGUGUUAAAUCCUUAAGCUCAACUUAAGGGCUGCAUAUGAUACGUUUGGACUAGACCCAGUCAGAGGCCGGCGGAACUCACGGUGUAGGGGGUGAAAUCC
Molecule: ribosomal RNA, 387 nt
Filed under: uncultured microorganism
Description: bacterial SSU rRNA
Rfam family: Bacterial small subunit ribosomal RNA
Source: RNAcentral